RNAcentral lists this ribosomal RNA (370 nucleotides) under uncultured Glomus. Its description in RNAcentral is "SSU rRNA". It matches the Rfam family "Eukaryotic small subunit ribosomal RNA", at positions 569 to 943 of the family's 1831-position model. Lineage: Eukaryota; Fungi; Glomeromycota; Glomeromycetes; Glomerales; Glomeraceae. The record is from RNAcentral.
AGCAGCCGCGGUAAUUCCAGCUCCAAUAGCGUAUAUUAAAGUUGUUGCAGUUAAAAAGCUCGUAGUUGAAUUUCGGGAUCAAUAUAUCGGUCGUGCCUUGGUACGUACUGGUAUCAUUGGUCUCUCCUUUCUGACGAACCAUGAUGUCAUUAAUUUGGUGUUAUGGGAAGUUAGGACUGUUACUUUGAAAAAAAUUAGAGUGUUUAAAGCAGGCUUUAGCUUGAAUACAUUAGCAUGGAAUAAUGAAAUAGGACGUUCGAACCUAUUUUGUUGGUUUCUAGGAUCAACGUAAUGAUUAAUAGGGAUAGUUGGGGGCAUUAGUAUUCAAUUGUCAGAGGUGAAAUUCUUGGAUUUAUUGAAGACUAACUAC